This is a long non-coding RNA of Engraulis encrasicolus (European anchovy), 646 nucleotides long. RefSeq lists it as uncharacterized. NCBI's taxonomy places the organism in Eukaryota, Metazoa, Chordata, Actinopteri, Clupeiformes, Engraulidae. The transcript has 3 exons. The record is from RefSeq and is a predicted model, not a curated record.
GUGGCGUUGUAAGGGGCGCUCAUAGUCGUUCCAACAAGACACGAUUUGCUGACCGAUUAUAAGCGCAAACUCAGGACUUCCGUUGCCCUGCAAGGUGAAUGUGGCGUUGUAAGGGGCGCUCAUAGUCGUUCCAACAAGGCAUUUUGCUGACAGCAAGGCGAUUUGCUGACCCAUUAGAAGCGCAAACUCGGGACUUUGGUCGCCCUGCAAGAUAAAUGCUGAAUUCAAGAGAAUAACUACAAUGCCCUUGCAGUCGAGAUUCCUGUCCCAGCUAGACAUAUUGUCUGACAAGCUGCUGAAGCUGUUCAAAAACAGAGGAGGACAGAUUGACAAACGCCUAGAGAACAUUUUGGCUUGCAUGACUGAGAUUAGAGAAUUUGAGAAUUUUGGGAUAGUGCUGAUUAGUGUUGACAUAGAAUUCCAUGAAAUAAUAAUUUAUCCUUCCUUGAUGCAGGAUGAUGAUGUUGAUGGGGGAUGUGAAUGCAUCCUGAAGGCAUUGUAUGUGUUCCUUGUUAAAAUUCCAUAAAAUAAUUUAUCCUUCCAUCAUGCAGGAUGAUGAUGACAUUGAUGGAGGACGUGAAUGCAUCCUGAAGGCAUUGUGUGUGUUCUUUGUUAAAAUUCCAUAAAAUAAUUUAUCCUUCCUUGA